CCUACGGGGUGCAGCAGUGGGGAAUAUUGGACAAUGGGCGAAAGCCUGAUCCAGCCAUGCCGCGUGUGUGAAGAAGGCCUUCGGGUUGUAAAGCACUUUCAGUGGGGAAGAAAGCCUUGGGGCUAAUACCCUCGAGGAAGGACAUCACCCACAGAAGAAGCACCGGCUAACUCCGUGCCAGCAGCCGCGGUAAUACGGAGGGUGCGAGCGUUAAUCGGAAUUACGGGGCGUAAAGCGCGCGUAGGCGGUCUGAUAAGCCGGUUGUGAAAGCCCCGGGCUCAACCUGGGAACGGCAUCCGGAACUGUCAGGCUAGGGUGCAGGAGAGGAAGGUAGAAUUCCCGGUGUAGCGGUGAAAUGCGUAGAGAUCGGGAGGAAUACCAGUGGCGAAGGCGGCCUUCUGGACUGACACUGACGCUGAGGUGCGAAAGCGUGGGUAGCAAACAGGAUUAGAUACCCUUGUAGUC
This 465-nucleotide ribosomal RNA is filed under the name Vreelandella stevensii. Its description in RNAcentral is "partial 16S ribosomal RNA". It matches the Rfam family "Bacterial small subunit ribosomal RNA", at positions 338 to 795 of the family's 1533-position model. The record is from RNAcentral. Lineage: Bacteria; Pseudomonadati; Pseudomonadota; Gammaproteobacteria; Oceanospirillales; Halomonadaceae.